ACCAUGUUGGCCAGGAUGGUCUCGAUCUCUUGACCUCAUGAUCUGCCCGCCUUGGCCUCCCAAAGUGCUGGGAUUGUAGGCAUGAGCCACCACGCCCGGCCCCAGUGUUGUUCUCUUUUCUCCACGUGGUUACAUACCUUUGCCUACUGUGUGUUGAUCACUGAUUCUCCAUCUCCAGACUCAUCCCUCAUUAACAUGGAACUUACUUCCUUUCCUAAACCAGACAUUGACAUGCUCCCCAAGUCCUGAAAUUUUGCCUUGUAAUAAUUUCUAAUAACUUCUUACUUUGACACCUCCAUUGCCAUCAUCUUAAUUCAUGGUUUUAUUAUUUCCUACCUGUAACAUUGUAAUAGUUUUUUAAUCAGUCUGAAGUCUCAUUCUUUUUUAUACGUACUCUCUUGACACCUUAAAAAAUAAAAUAAAAGGUGAAGGGGUACUCAUGUGCUCUCAUUGCCUUUGGUAUAAAUUCUAAUCUUUUUGCCAGAGCAACUGAUUUCACUAAUGAUCUGGGAGCUAGGCCUGGAGCUGGGAAGGGAGCUUUUUUUCUUUCUUUCUUUCUUUUUCUUCUAUGAUUAAUUAAAAUGAAACAAACAGGAGGUAGUUUUAACACCCAGUUCCUCUAUACUUUCUCAAGGCAUUUAAGGCCCUGGGCAAAUCCUACCUCUUCUAUGAUCUUCUGUUUUGUCACUUUUGCCACAAUAUAUCUCCACUGAAAUUGUAUACUUUUUAUCACCUUUUCUUGGCAUUUUCCAAGUCAUUUUAAUUUGCUGUUGUUGCGAUGAUGAUUGGUGAUGAUGAUGCUGGUGACGUGAAUCAGUGGAUUUACUGACACUGUAACCUUUGUGAAAUCAGGUGUAGGACACACAAAAGGCAUAAACACAUAGUUCCUGUCUUGCUUUUUCACGAGGCACUGAAUUAAUCAUGGAUUUAAAAAAAUAAAACUGCAGAUUAUAGUGAUAAAGGACAGGAAAAAUUUCAAAGAGGGAAGUUAAAAAGAGGGAGAAUAUGAGGUUAAAAAAAAAUUAACCAGAGGUAAAGUGGGAGGAUGAGGGUAGCAGGACUACUUUGUCCAGUUAAAUCAACUGAUUUGGGAUCUAGAUGGGAUCUAGAUUUAUAGGCUUUGCCUUUUUGUUUUGUUUUGUUUUUUUCUCUGCUCCCUUCUUUACUCUUCUCAUCUCAUCUCUUGUCUGGAAAGAUCCUCAUGACUUCCUAAAAGUUCAUAGUUUGAGAACAUUCUUCCUAAAUUUUCUUUGACCUUCUCUUUGGACAUUCUAGGUAACUCAAUUUGGGGGGUCAGUUUUAUUCUUCAGAUACACAUUCCCGUAGGAGGAAAAGUAAGGAAUGGGAGGGAAAUGCAAAUCUGGCAGAGUGAUAACAUGAACAGAUCAGGUCCAGUCCGGGCAAUUGCUGGUUUGAGCACUGAUACUAGUGCUCAGGGAUUGCUUGCAAGGACACAUGGAAUAUGGUAGACCCCAGGUGUUGCAUUAUGUGCACACCAAAAGUUUGCAGAGAGCUGGGAAUAAUUUCUUUUCAGACAGUGUGGUGAUGAAUGUCAAUCUGAAUAGGUAAGAAGCAGAGAUUUGUGCUGAGAUUGAGUCAUUCUCUUGGUAAAUGCACAGUGUUCACAAAGACAAGGUUUCAUCUUCAGACCAUGUGUGUAUAUGUCAGCUUGGUGCAGAGCAAGACAUUUUUCAACGCUGACCUUUGAUUUUUUUCUAGACAUCUUAUAGGUUGAUGUAGUUAUUUACAUGGGAAACAAUCAGAAUGGAAAUUUAACAUAUCUUUAGUUUAAAAUUAAUUUCAGCCUAUUCUAAAUAUCUUUGUAAGUGCUAGACACCCAGCCCCAUAGCAGUGGCCUAUUACUGAAGGAUUAGUGUUAUGACUUUUGCAUACAUGAAGACGGCACUCUUUAGGAUAUGAUAUAAACAAAAAAUAAAACAUGGCAAGAUUUUAACAAUGUAAUGUGAUGUGUAUUUCUAUAUAAUACCCAAAUGUACAAGAAGAAAAAUUGUAGUAAUCACUGGAUUUCCUGUACAUGGCUCUAACCAAUGCUUAAGAUUAGAAAAUAUCUAAUUAUUGCCUACAAUAUUUAAUCUCCAUUUCUGUCUGUAUAUCAGUGUGCUACUUCAACAUCAGUCUGUCAAAAGAGUCUAGGAAUUACUACUACAAGCAGAUAAUUGUGUGUUCAGGAAUCACAACAAAAGUAAGAACAAAUCAAGAAACAAAAGCUUUCUUAUUCUUUCAUCCAGGACAACAAUAAAUACACAUAAAGUCAAUAUUAGUGAAGUAGACAAGCCUCUUCUAUGCCAAUUAAUAGUACUUUCAACUGAUUCAUUUCUUAAAAGACAAUCAACAAAUUAUCAAUUUUUAUUAGAGUCUUUAUUAGAGACACAAGCUUAAACAAACAUAUUCUAUGGUACUUAACUCCAUAGUAUUUAAAGACUCAACAUUCAUUUCCUCUAAAAAUGAGUCAAGUGUCUAAAUGGAAAAUGCCACCCACUGAAACUUCAAUUUCUCCUAUAUAGGGCAUUUAUUAAAAAACUGUAAUUACAAUGCAAUGAUACUGAAGUAUAAAUGAUCAUCAUUCAUAUAUUUAAGAAAAUACUUUCAUCAAACUUGAGUAACUGCAAGAAAACCAUUCACCCUCCAAAACAGGGAUUUGCUAAUGCUGGAGUAGAAGGCAAAGAGCUGAGGGUAACUGAGAUAACACACUCGUAUGUCUUAGUAUAUGGACAGCUGGUAUAGCGAACUUGACAGAAAUCACUGAUAGACUAGAUGACACUCUCUGCAUUUUAAAUUAAAAUAAAAUUUGUCCUACGUUCAAGAAAAUAGCUUAGAAAAACGUAUAUAAAUAAAAAUGAUGCCAAGAGACAAUGUCAAAAUGACUAUAUUAUGUCAAUACAGUGUGGCCACUGUAUUUUAAACACAUUUACUUGAUGAAAAAUAUAAUAAUUUAUUGAUUAAAAGUAUUAAGCAUAAUAGAAAAUGAGACAGAAACCACUCCAAGCUGGGAAACAUCAUGGCAUUUGUAGUGAUAAAUAUUUUGAAAAUCUAACUCUAUGAAUUACAUGAUUUUGAGGUAAAUCAGUCUUCAUCCUUGAUACACAGUUUCCUCACCUAUAAAGUGUUGUAAGCAUUAAAAGUGAUAGUAUUUGUAAAAAUACUUUGAAACUAUGAGAGGAUCUGAGAAAUUGCAAAUUUUUUAUGUAAGUCCAUGAAAUCAGAGCACAUAACUCUUUAGUAUUAAACGUGAUUCCAGUGCUAUCUCUUCCUUUGAGACGCUGUGAAGAAAUAAAGGGAUAGCUUAAGGUUAGGAGGUAGAAGAAUAAACCCUUACAGGCCUUUGAAUUCUUUUAGCUUUCCGUUCUUUAUUUCAUGGAUUUUUCAGGCUUAUCCAGAGUCUACAGUCUGAAUAGUAAAUCCACGGCCUUGUGCUUUGCCAGGGAUUUCUUAUUGUAAAAAUAGCCUGAAGUGUUACCUGCCCUCAAUCUCAACUGUGUCAAUACCUACCAUUACCAGGAAAUCUCUGUAAAAGGCAGAGCUCACCUUUGUCUAUCCCUCCUUUAAUGGCAUCUAUGGGGUAGAAAACAUACUGAUCCCAUGAUCUGAUAUCAAGGAUGUCUUGGCUCAACUUUUAUGAAAAUAAAUAUUUAAUUAGAAUAUAUCAACAUUUAUGAGUUUUCCUUGAAGAUAAAUUUUGGAGGAAAAAAACUCCAUUAGGCCAAUUUAAUUCCCUGAGUAAUAUAUACAUUCCUGAGUAAUAUAUAUAUAUUCCCUAGUUAACUCCUUACCAGUUUUUCCAUUUAAAUUAUAGUUUUACUGAACUAAUGUUUAGCAGCAUCAUUUUCAUAUAAUUUUUACAAUAACUAUUAGAUCCAUUUUACCCAUGUCAAAUUCUGCUGAUUAUAGCUUAUGCUUCUGGGAAUUUUUCUUUGUGGUUAUUAUUUUUCUAAAUGUAAUUCUUCUUUUCAAACAAUACAGAUCUAAAUUUUCCAAAACCAUUUAAAUUCUUCUUUUUAGCCAGAAGCAUUUUCUGUGUUUAGUUUGGCUACCGCUAGUUUAGUUUUUUUUAAAAUUGGUUUUGUGUUUCAAUGCUACAAAAAAUAUAAUUUAUGUAAUUUUUCAUUUUUGUCAAACUUAUAUUAACCACUUUCAAUUGUGUAUUGUGUUGAAAUUUCUAUUAGUGACAUUAAUGUGGAGAUUGACAACUAUUUUAGCUAGAUUCAUUUAAAAAUUUUAAGACACUUGAUUAUUAUUUAGCUAGCCAAUGGAAACUUCAGAAACACUUUUAAGACAGUCUAGAAAUAUGAUGUUUUAAUUCUCAUUCAUUUGUUUGGUAUUCCUCUUAUUAGCUUUCUCACUUAGUGCCAACUUCUUAUUCAUUAUUGGAGCAAAAAGUAAACAGAAGAAUCAAUGUGAUAAAUUUAAAAUCUUCUCAGUGUAAAAUGGUGUACGGGGAACGUGUCAAAUCAUCAUACUUUGGUCUGUGUGCAUUUAGGAAAAAUAAAAGCAAUUAGCAUUGCACAUACAGAUGUAAUUGAAUCUCUUCAGAUUUAUCUAGCUUUAUCUGUAACCACUUUGUGACAUAUAACAUAUACCCUUUUUGUAACUUGCAUUUUUCAAAAAAUGUGACCUUGUUUUGUCGGAAGACAAAACUAUUGGAUAUGCUGUUUUUCUUUCUCUCCACAUCUUUUUUCAGUGGGGCAAAUUAUAAAUUCUCUUCAUAAUUUACUCCAAAGAUCAAGAUUAUGUCCCCUGGACAGCCCCACUCCCACCUGUAUAGCCCUUGCUCCUCAGCCCCUUUCACACCUGCACAAGUGUUCUUCUGUUGUGAUGAUCCUUUGAAUAAUCCUCUUGGAGUUCUCUUUACUGGGCUCUCUUGCAGCAACUGGUGAGGUCAUGUAGGCUGUCACUGGGUCUCUGCUUAUGUGCCAGUGCCUACAGGUCCACGGUAAUUGUUUGCUGAAUAAAUGGAUGGUCUGUCAGCUUCACCCAACUCUGUAUGUAGAAGACACUUAAUGAUUCUUAAAAACAGUUUUAAUUCCUUUCUUUUAUUGUUGUUUAUAGGAGUUAUUUACGGUAAAAUUUUCUACAUAAUAGAAAAUUUGGAAAAUGUCAAGAAAUAGAAGGAAAAAGAAAUUCUUUAGAGUUCCUGCUAACAUUUUGUUUUUCUUCCUCUAAAUUUCAUAUUCCAUUUUUUCUAAGUAAACCAUGAUUAUUCUAGACAAUUUGAAAAAUAUAGAAAUGAAUAAAUAGAGAAAUAAGAAUUUCAGAUUUCCAGUUCUCAAGAUGAAACUUUCUGAGUAUUUCAUUUAACUAGGACAACUAGAUGUAUUCAGUUAUUUAUUAACUUAUUAUUUCAUUUGAUAAACAACUAUUUUGUGAGUAUUUCCAUGUACUGUGGGCUGAGGAUAACAUAUUCUAUGAAGCUGGUAUUCUCUUAGUAUCAGUGGCCUCUUGGAGAUGAUCUUAAAUCUUUCAAAAUCUUCAUCAGCACCCCAAAGCUUCCUCUUCAACAUAGUAAUAUACCUUGCUACAGAUUAUUGGCAUUACCAAUGUUUUAUAAAUUACAAAUUUAAAAGUCAUGAUUUUAAGAGCUACAUAAAAUAUAUUAAAAAUUACAUUCUUACAAGACUACCUCCAGGUCCCUGUUAAAACCAGAUAUUCCCUGCAGACUUUUAAGUUAUAGAAGUUUCAGUGUUGUCACUGAGUUGUGCAGAUUAUUAUGAGAUAUUCAGUAAAUAAAGUUGGUAGAUGUUUAGAGGUACUAGGCAAUAGUCCUAUUUUGUUUGUUUUGUUAUUUAUUCUGAUAAUAAAAUGCUUGUUUGGAGAGAAAAGUUAAAACAGAGAAAUACACAGCACACAAACAAACUCUUAGCUUUUUUUUUUUUUUUUUUUUUUUUUUUUGGUAAUCUUUCAGUAAUUUUCCAAGAUCACCAGCUAAUAGCAAAUGAGAGUUGUAGGGGUGGGGUGGGGUCUUUAUCUGGGUCUAUCUGAUUCUAGGUCUAUUCUUUUUCCAGUGAGUUAGCCAAUCUUCUUAGUGCUCAGCUUAAUAACCAGAAAUUUAAGAUGUGACUGCAUGAUGAUGGGCAAACACAGCAGGACUGACAGGUAGCUGGUGGUUUCUCGGAGUUUGUUCAUAUAACAUAUGCAUGUAAGUUCAACCACCUGAUUUAGCUACUUACAUGAACCAUUGUGCACCUAGUUGCUUCUAUAUCUUUAGCAAGAUCAAAUUCACAUAUGAUUGUAUGACUUUUAUAAAAAGCAAAAAAGACGUCUUUGAUUAAUUUGGCUUCACAAUGAAUGCUGAUGCCACACAAAUAAUGCAAAAAGUGAUGUGUUACAAUCAUCCUGAAAAGGAGGCUAACAAAGGGCAGGACUGAGUCUGUCUUGAGGUGAGUGAUUCGAUGGAAAGAAUGGAUUUUCCCCCACCCAACUCAUUUUUGAUAUUACAUAAAGUGAAAACCAUUAAAUAAUUCACCUAAGUAUCUACUUUUUUUUGUUUUGUUAUUGAAGUGCAAGGGAAGUAACUUGACCUUUGUUAAACACUUUGAUCAUGGAAAACACAUAAGGUUCUCAUCUUAUUCCAGGAAGUGUAGACACUAGAUAAUCUUUUCAUAGUCAUCCAAGAAGCAUAUUAAAUGAACCAGGUAAACCCAUCCUACACUUUUGUAUUCCAGAGACAAGUUGGCUAAACUUUGGAGAGAGUAAAAAAAAAAAAAAAAAGUUUUGCUUGGUUAAUAUGAUAAAUGUGGACUUCCAAUCAGAUAAUUUAGGCCAAAUAUUCUAGUUCGACUUCUUAGACUUAUAUUUCCAGAUAGUCUGGUUUAUAAAAUGUUAACUUAUGCUUACUAAACUCUAUGCAUUUCUACUUUUCAAUGACCCGUUUUUAUUUUCUGAAUUUACUUAUUGAUGCUUUAAGUAUGAUAAAAAUAUAUGAUGGCUAAGAAAACAUAAAUGAAGAAUAAGACAUCAGCUGAGACUUUUGACUGAAAGGAGGUGGUGAUAUGAAGGACACAGAUAAGUCAAAGAAAAAGGAAAAGGUCAGCGAGCUGAUAAAAGUAACUUGAAGAAAUGUUAGUGCAGAUAUUGGAUUCAGACGGCCUCUACUUUUAAGGUACUUAAAGAAACCAGUCUUUGAAAUCUUGCCUUAAUUCCAUUCUGAGAUUUCCAAUCAUCAAAAGUCAGUGAAAAUUACUUCCAAAGCCUCAGUUUCCUCAUCUGGAGAAUGGAAAUGAUAGCAAGAGAUAAUCGCAUGAGAUGAUCCCCUGCCAAGCUAAAAAACUGUUCAACUGUUCUAAGUGCUGAUACAGUGGUAAAUAAAGCAGAAAGUUUGUCUACUUUUAUAAAACUUACUUCCUAGUGUGAGAGAUAACAAGAAAACAAACAGCGAAUUGAGAUAACUUCAGUUAUAGAUAAAUACUGUGAAGAUAAUUAAGUAGUAUCAUAUGGCAGAGACAGGCCAGGGCCAGAUUCAGGGGUAAAUGCACCUUGACAGAGUGAUCAAGGAAGACCUUUAUGAAGAAGAGUCAUUGAGCUAAGUGUUGGCUGUCAAAAAUAUGGGGAUCCAGGUGAGGGGGGCUGGCAGAAGAAAAGGUUCUGUGGCGAAAAACAAAACAAAACAAAACAAAUUGUUGGGUUCAAGGCACAGAAAGGUCAGGCACCUGCAGUAUGAUGAGUAAGAACCAAGCAGGUUGUGGUGAAGCUAGAAAGAUAAGCAGAAGGCAGGUCCCCUAGGGCCUCAAUGGAAAUGGAAAGAACUCGAAUUUUACCUGAAGUGUAAUGGGAAGAAGCCAUUUUAAAUUCUUAAGUACAGAAUAACCUAAUCUUCUUUCUGUGUUGAAGAGAUCACUUUGACUGCCAUGAAGAGACUAGAUUGGAAGUAAGGCAGAGCCUGGAACCAGUUAUGAGGAGGCUGAAUGAGGAUGGAGAAAGGGGAUGGUGAUUUGGACUGAGCCUUGGCAGCGCAGGAGGAAAGAAAGGAAAGUUUGACAUGGAAUUAAGAGAAGUGGCUGCAUGGAAAGUACAGACAUUUUAGAGAAUGACUUUUUUUGUUGUUGUUUUUGUUUUUGUUUUUCCGUGAGCACUGGAAUGGGAAAGAGUCACAUUAGCGGGUCAGCAAUCCAGAGUUCUGUUUGGCCUGUUAUUGAUGUCUGAUUUUCAUUAGCCAGUAGAGAUAUCAAUAAAUCCAUUGGCGAUAAGAGGCUGAGGCUCAUUCAGUAGGUCUUAACUGGCAAUAUAAAUAUAGGAGUCAUUGCAUUCAGAUGUAACUUAAAGCUAAAGGGCUGCAUGUGACCGUGUAAAUAAACAUGUAGAGAAGAGCAGAUGGCUGGUUUCUGAGCCUUGGGAAACUUCCUAUUUGGAAGGGACACAAGGAGGAUCUAGAAAAAGAGAGAGAAGAGGCAGCCAGUGAAAAAAAGUAGAACUAUACUUUGCUUUGAAUGUUGAAAAAGGGAUUGGCAUAUAGUGAGAAUUCAGUAAAAUCCACAUAAAAAUCUGAACUUCUAUCUCCUCUUGAAACGUUGAUAGUGAACAUGCUAUUGGCAAAUAUCUCUAUUACACAAGCAAUUAUUAAGGAAUUUAUAAUAAUAUUUGGAAGAAUCAAAUGUCUUUACCCGAUGUAUUUGUUGCUAGCUUAACUAUUAGACAAAGAAAGAGAUACAACUUAACAUAUUUUGUUUUAAUAAAAACUGCAGAAUAUAUUGAGAGACUAAUCAAUUAGAAAUUUAACUGAAAAUUUCAUGCAAAGGUAAUAUUCUGUUGGAUAAUUUCAUGACUUAUGUUUGGUUUGAUACAUAUUUUAAAAUACUGUUUAAGCCAAUACUUGAAUAGAUUGGGAUGGUGUGUGUGUGUGUGUGUGUGUGUGUGUGUGUGUGUGAACUGGUUACAUAACUGGUUUAGUCUUAAAUUGAACUUAAACCUUCCAUUUCUUUAAGAAAUUUAAAAAAUAGCUAUCAAUUUGGCAGAUAUUAGGUAGAAUCUAAUAUCCAUGAAAAUUAAACCACAUAUAAAUAGAGAUAAAUCCUUUUGUGGGUGUAUGUAUAUCUGUGUGUGUGUAAUUUUGAUUUCAGGCUUGGCAGGUUUCCUUAAAACAUUUUUUUAGAGCUACUUAAUUUUGUACUUACUGGUAGUUAGCUAAUAAGAGGAAGUUAGCUAACAAAAAAUAGUACUUACUCUGUGCCAGGCACUUCUUUUUUUUAUUAUUAUUAUACUUUAAGUUCUGGGGUCCAUGUGCAGAACCUGCAGGUUUGUUACGUAGUUACACAUGUGCCAUGGCGGUUUGCUUCAUGCAUCAGCCCGUCAUCUACAUGAGAUACUCUUCCUAAUGCUAUCCCUUCCCAAUUCCCCCCACCGCCUGCUACUCCUCCCCUAGCCCCCCAACCCCCGGGAAACUCCUGGCAUGUGAUGUUUCCCUCCCUGUGUCCAUGUGUUCUCAUUGUUCAACUCUCACUUAUGAGUGAGAACAAGCAGGUGUUCGGUUUUCUGUUCUUGUAUUAGUUUGCUGAGAAUGAUGGUUUCCAGCCUCAUCCAUGUCCAGACACUUCUGUUAACAUUUUAUCAAUGUUAUCUCAUUUAACAAGCACGUAUCAUUAUAUAGUCUGGCUUAUACUUGUCUUUAAUAUAAGCAAAUUUGUUAAUUUGUGUUUCCCAAUAUUUAUUAUAAAAUUGACUGGUUGUCAUAUCCUAAAAGGGAAUAUUUAAAUUUAAUUUUCCUUGUUCUAAUUUCAAAUACAGUACUAAGAUUGAAAAAGAAGGUGUCAGGCAAGGGAAGUAAUGCUGAGUGCCUCUCAUAUGCCUGGUACUCCAUAUGAUGCUUCAACGCACACCAUGCUAUUCAGCCUUAAAUUUAUUUCUACAUUCUGUUUCUAGUUCUACAGAUUAUUAAACAAAUGUACAAUCUUUGGUCACUAGCCUUACUAAGGAAAACAGAAAUAUGGUUAAAACAAAAGAAUAAGUAAUCUAAAUAUUAUCUAUCGAUAUUUGUUUUAUAUUGUGAUAGUUUGCUUAAGUUGAAAAAAUGGGCACCUGAGGUGUUUUGGCAGUUUACUGUGAUCUCAAUAGUGAGAAUGUAUGGAAAAAGCUCAGUACAGGAGAGAGUUGUGUAGCUAUGUCUUCCUGUGGCUGCUUAAUUUUCACGUAGAUAUAAAGCUGCAGUUUAAGCACACCUGCCUAAUCCUAGUUUAAAAGACUGGGAGGGAAUUAGAAGGGGAGGGAGGGAGAGAAAGGGAAGGGGGAAUAGCUUGAGAGCAAUCUUGCCCAUUUAAUACAAACAGUAUGUGUGUGAAAAACAGAUAAGCGUGCAUGUAGGCACUAUCUUUGUGAAAUCAAAAACAUAAUUUACUCCUAAUGCUGAAAAAUCUAGUUGUGUGUAAGCAGCAGGGAGAUAUUAAAAUAAAUUUCUAAUAAAAGGUAGUAAAAGUCUAGCAAACCUAAGUAAUCCAUUUUCAGAUGUUAGUCCAAAUUAUGUAAACAAUAUUACCCUUUUUUUUUUUUUGGUCCUUUGUUUCAAAGAUUACAUGUGAAUGAAAGAAAUAGCAUUCCAUCUAGGUAAAAGAGUAAUUAGCAUCAUUGAAAUGUCAAUAGCUGUGAUUCCUCCUUGCUGAAUGGCAACUUUAGAACAGAGGGAACCCAGGAGUCCAUCUAGAGGUUCAAGAAAUAAGAGGUUCUCACCCAGAGGAAGAUGAAAAAUAAUUUCAGGGUAAGCCACGAAGAAAAUCACCAAAGCCUUUGAAAUAAAAUAUUUUUCCUUUUCUAUGAAUAAAAUGUAGUGUUAUGUCAAGGGCAGCUAGAUGGUGUGGCUGAAAGAACUAUUGGGAAUGGCUAUUGGGAGAUCAAAGGCAAGUGGAACCUCAAAGUUCUGGAAGUGGAACAAGUCAGAUACAAUAUAAGAAGAACUUCAAAGACAGGAAAAUAAGAAUAAUAAAAAUACCUUUAGUUGUCAAAUAUAAAAUUUGUGCCAAUUUUGUCACAUUCUAUUUUUCAGAAACACUGUAAAGUUAAAGGUAUUUUCUAUUAAUACCAAUUUAACUAUACGUAAUCUUCCCAUCUUAAUUAGUCAAUUUUCAAGAAAGUGUGUGUUAGGCUCAAAGUAUCCAAAAGGACUUUUUUGUUAGUCUUAAUAGAAUGCAUUCUCUUAAAUUAAAUUUUAAUUUUAAUUUCUAAGUAUAAGGUGGUUAUAGAAAUUGAAUGUAAAAUCACUUCAUUAAGUGUAAUAAAAUGAAAUAAUAUGAGGAGUUGUUAUAUUAUUAAAAUAUUUAGAAAACUAUAAAGGAGUAUGGAAAUUCUGUUACCGCUACUAUGAUUAGUGUCUCAUUUGGUUUUUCACUUUAAGAAUUGAAAUAAAAGUUGAAGUCUUGAUAUUAAAAUUAAGAAAUGAUUCACAAAUUACUUUAUAAAUUGAAAUAUUGAAAUAUAGAAUGUUCAACCACUGUUAAUGUGAAUUCCUAUUUUGUAGUUAAUUUAUUCUAUAAACAUCUGUAUUUGCUAAAGAGCAACAGACCAGGGAAAAGUAAAUCAGUGCCACCCAUAAAGCCAUGAUUUUGUGGAAUCAUUGUUCCAGUUUAUGUCUUAGUGUAUGAAAGAAAAUACUUCCAAUGGAUCUAUCUUUUUGCUAAAGAGUACCCUUUACAUUUCAAAACAUAUAAACAUUUACAUAAAGGUGUUUGUGAAAAAAGAAAUUAUGUGCCUUUUAUUUUAAUUCAUCCAUUAUUCCAUUCCACAUGUAAAGUAGAAAAUAUUACUUUAAGACAAAGUAAAGCACUAUUUAUUUUAAAUUGUAUUUCGUUCAUGAGUUUUAUCAGAAGUAACACUUCUUAAUAUUAUCAGAAGUAACAUUUCUUAAUGUUAUUCAGUGUCAUAACUUGCCUUUUCUCUAGGCCUCCAUUUUAUGAAUUGAACAUCUGGAUUUGAUGGGCAAGAAAACAUUUCCUUCCGCUAGCUUUUCCAAUAACUCCCUCUUACAGAUAUGCAUGCUUCAUGUUGGUUAAUAAAAUUGACAUAAUUUUAAUAUCUGGUAUUUUAACACACAGUGAAUUAUGGAAUUUUCAGUGGCUUUAUUUAAUUAAAUGCAUUUUAAAUUCCUUACAAAAACAGUGUUAGGAGCAACUCUAAAAAGUAUUAGAGCCACAGAUGUUUUCCUUUAUAGUGUUAAUGGAUUUAAGGCCCAUCAAAAUGCUGUUAAAAUGUCUAGAGGUUAACAAUAAUAAUGGCACAUGGGUCAGAUUAAAAUUCUUUUUGAGUAAAAUAAAUAAACAAAUGAUAGCUUAUGUUCCUCUGAUUAAAUAAUUUAGCUAGUGGAUUGAAACAGCAAUGUGAUAGCUAAGAUUUCAUUCUCUCACUUUAUAAUAAAACAACAUUUAAAACUAUGGAUUACAUGGUACACCAAACAUUUACAUGCACAGAUUACAAGUACUAGUUUUGUUUUUAGUGAAGGGAAGACAUUUUCUCUUUUUAUCUGUUGUCUUAUUUUACAAUUGAAGUAAUUAAUCUGCUAAGCUCUUUAACCAAUAAAAUAUAGUGUGUAACAAGCAAAUUUGGCCUCUCCCUCCCCUUAAAUGCAGUUCCACUGCUCCUUGCUCCAUUUUAAGCCUGCUAUCCUUCAUAAGAGAAUAAUAUGCUUUGUAAUUUAAGAAAUCAUGCAGAGGAGAGUUUCUCAAAAUUCACCUUAAUAUGUAAUAAUAAUAAUAAAUAUGUAUAACAAUAGUAUCUUGGAGAGUAAAUUUUUAAAAUAUUUUAUAGAAAAGAUGAGUAUUAAAAUGAAAAGUUUAAACAUCAAUUUUUUUCUAUGUUAAAAUUACUAAAAUUGAACUACAGACUCAUGAAUACUUAGGGCAACUUUUAUCUCAGGAAAUAUAUCAAUAGUCUGAAAGUGUCAAAUCAAUUCAAUUAAAUCAGUAACAACACUUCCCUGUUUAUGUGGCUGUUUUUUCUUCUAUAUUUAUAGUCUUAGAUUGCACGGAUACAAUCAAAAUAAUUUAAUUUGUAUACGGGAUAUAAAAGGACCAGAGAAUGUGUCUUCCCAUUAAAUAAUAAAAAAUAAGAAUACCUUUUAUUUUAUGAUGUUCUUUACUGUUUACUGAGAGCCAAGUAUUGAGCUGUUUUUUUUUUAAUUAGCUGACGUUUCCUGCUUUUAUUUGAGUUACAAUUUCUGUAGAAAAUGUUUACAAAAGUGAAAACAUUUUUAAAAAGAGAAAAGGAAUUUGGAAAUUUGUAGACUACUAUAAUGUAAAGCAGCAUUAGUUAUACAACAAUUAAUUUAGAGAAGCAAAAGACCUUAGAAAUAAUCUAUUUCAACCCAUCUAUUUACGAAUGUGAAAACUGAAAGUCUUAGAUAUUUAGUGACUUGUCCUUUGUUAUACCAACAAUGAGAGAACUUGGUCUAGAAUUCCUCCAGUAUAUUAUGAGGUAUUUGUCCUUUGACGUGAUGCAAUGGAAUGAAUAUUGGAUUAGGCAUUUCGGGACAAAUUUUGAAUCCUAACUCUAUUACUAAUUCCUUUUCACUAGACUGAGAUUCUGAUAUGUGGUAUUCAAUAAGUUAUUUGAUUUCUUUAAGCCUUGCUUUUUUUUCAGUGAGAUUUAGAGCUUAAACUAGUUUCUGAAUCUUAGCCCUGUGGACAAUAUGGCUGGAGAACUGAGAUGUCCUGUGCAUAGUAGGAUGUUUAGCAGCACUCCUGCCUCUGCACACUGGACACAGCAGCACAUAUCCCAACCCUACUCUGACAGUGACAACCAAAAAUGUCUUCAGGCAUUGCCAAAUGUCAACUGAGGGCAAAAUUGCCUACCUUUGCCACCUUAACUGAAAACUAUGAGCUUAGUUGAAAUAACUUCUUUAUGGCUCCCAGCAGUAGCAAUGUGCUAUUCUAGACCACUUGGUUAAACUACUGGAUGCUUCACCAAAAAGCACCCACUAAGCAUUAUUCACCUUGAAGUUUGUUGGGUAUGCUAUACAGUGACCAAAGGAGACAUUAUAUAAUUUUUAAAAACUUAAAAGAUUCAGAGGUGAGGAUUUUAUAGUAGUAACGAAGUAUUAACCAUUAUAAAAGUUUAAGAAGGUUUAACAAAAUGAUAUAAAAAUAUAUUCACUAUAAGUAGGAUGUAAUUUUUGUCCUGUAAGACUUAUCUAUAUAUUUAUGAAUUGAAUCUGCCAGAGGUUACAACAGUUUGGUCAUUAUUUCAAAGAUUAAUAGAGACUCAUUUCCAAUCAUAGGUGUUCACUAUACUAUUCUAAGACAUUUGCAACUGUGUAAGGCAGUCAUUUCCAGUAAGAAUGGCUAGAACAAACAUUAAGGCUUUCAUAGUGAGAAGGGUCACGGAUAUAGUUUCAUCCCUUGCAUAAAGAAGAAAAAGCCAUCUAUUAGCCUCAGUUUUUAACCUAAAAGGUAUUGUUGCUUCCCUUUCUUUCUCUCUCCCACUCAAUUUUUUUGCCCCGUGGAAGACAAGGGCCCAAUACAGGGAUAGCACACUGUGCAUGAGCUAUGAAGGUACAAAUGGAAGCUUGCCUGGCAAUCAAUGCCAGACCAGACAGCUAGCCUGAUGAAUUCUGCUACACAUCACAGGGCUCCUUUUUUUUUUUUUUUUUUUUUUGGUCAUAUAUUACUGCAAGUUCCCUGAGGAAGUUUACUGAUCUGUGGUUUUACGAGAAAUGCACGUCAUGGAGGUGGCAUGGGGGAGCGGGCGAACAAGGAAAGUUUAGUUUCUAUAAAAUGGGAGUUGAGAGCUCAGGCAGGUUGGUUAUGUUCUGCCAGAUGGAGAUAAAAUUGUGGCAGCCACAUCCUGUGACUAGAAAUUGUUUAAGUAGGCAGAUCUGUUGGAGGACUAAAGAACAUUAGGUAAGGAGAUUAAAUUAGAGCAGGAAAAAAUCAGUUUUGUUUAAAACAAAACAUCUACUUGGGUUACUAGAACAUUCUAACUCUACCAUAGGAUGGAAUCAAGAGGGUUUUUUGUUUAUAUAUAUAUAUAUAUAUAUAUAUAUAUAUAAUGUAUGUAUUCCUAUUUAGAUUAAAUAUUAUGGUUUACCUUUUCUAGUAAAGCAAAGUUUGUUCUGAAAUCUAAAAUAUCACUUACUAGAGCAGGAAAAAUUAGCUGUGCAUUUAUGCUAUUCCCAGUAUAGAUAAUUAAUCUUUAAGAAAGUAGAUUUUUCUGUUUACCUGUUGAUUGAAGUGUUAAUGGAGACAAGAGCUUUUUGUGUUACUGAAUAUUAUUGUCAGAUUACUGGUGCUUUCCAUUUUGUUUCUUUAAAGAAAUCCAACUUUUGUAAGCCACACUAUUUUCUGUUUCUAUUGGAUUCAUACAAUGAAGAUUUUAUGUCUCUCUAAGCUAAGAUAAAGGAUGUCAAGAAUAAACCAUUUUCUCAUUUUAAAUAAAAAUACAUUCAUUAUACAUACUUAUCUGAAAUCUCAAACAUAUCUGAAUUAAGUAUACUCAGUUUUGUGAGUGAUAAAUCAAUUAUUAUUUAAAACAAAAAGAAAAAACAAUGUUUUCAUUUUACCUCUCUUGCUGCUUCUGGGCUCUGACUGAGUCCGGAAGCAAAAGUUGCAAAACAUCAUGAGAAAACUUUUGCUCUUUUUUUUUUUCCCUUCAAUCUCCUCCCAAAUGGAAAUACCAGAAAUAUGAAAGCCUGUUCUUGCGAAAUAGUCAUCUCAGGAUUGUAUUUCUACUGUAGGUCUUCGAUGAUGCUUUACAACUGGCCUCUUUCCAUUCACAGUUGCUGUUUAUCUUUAAAUGUCCCUACUUGUCUCCUGAAUAAACACAAACACAUUUUUUAAGGUAUCUUGUUGACAUUGACUUCCUUCAUAGCCCAUGAAAAAAAUCCAUUGGGAGCAUCUCUUCAAUAGACAAAAAUAGUAUAAUUAUGAUUCAAUAUUCAAUGAAUAUGUGUUAAACUAAACUGUGCUCAAGCUCUGUGCAAGAGUACAGGUUUUUCACCUUUCCAGGGAAGAGGUGUGGAGUACAUAUAUAUUUCAGCCAUCCUGCAUGCCCGCAGGGACACCCUUUGGGUCCGUCUCAUUGGAUUACCCUUCCAUAUUUGCUUUUUAGUUUCUUUCUGCUUUAAGCACCUUUCAGAGAGAGAGAGAGAGAGAGAGAGAGAGAGAGAGAGAGAGAGAUGUUUUCCUUUGCCUUUGUAUAUGCCAUGCCUAAUGUUACAGAGUAGCCUUUAAAUACAUAUUUGUCGAAUUAAUAAUAACACAUAUGAAUGAAUGAGGCUCCAUAAUUCUGUGGAUAAUCUGGUAUCAUGGGAAUAUUUUAGCAUGUUUUAUAUAGAUAGACUGAUACUAUGACUGGCAAUCUGAUAGUAAAAAUGCAAAAUAUUGAGCUUAAGUAUUAUUUUAUUAUGUUGCCUUCUUAUAUAAAGGCGGAAUAAAAUAAGGCAGUGUGGACUGUAAUUGUGCUCAUGAAAGAGACACAAUGUAGAAAUACUUUACUUCCUUGAGACAGAAUGAUAUGGAUAACCUAGAAUGUUUGCCAUGACUUAUUAAUCUCUACUAUAUAAUAAAAAUAUUUCUUGUGAAGUGGUAACUUCAGUGAAAUCUUUUGUCUGCCCUUUUACAGACUUAAGUAACAAGUUUUCUAUGCUUGUUCUGUCCUUUUCUCUCCUCACCCCUAAAAAGUGGUUAGGGUUUUGGCAUUUGUUACUCAGAAUACUAAAUGUAACACAUAUGUGGCAAGACUUGAUGAAAUUGCACCUCUAUUCUUAUUAUGUUCUUUUCUGGAAAACUAUGACAAUUCGUGACCCCUUAGAAAGAGUAGCACAGUUUUCUGGUUGCUCCUCAUUAUAAUUGGAAAAGAAAAAAAACCCAGCUAUCUCUUCCUUUCAGAGUAAAAUUCUUUAGAAAAAGAGUAUUUUCAUCAAAUCAUUUGAGAAUGUUAAGUUGAAUAACGUUACAGUACUACCCUACAAACAUGUGGAGCAAGUGUCUGCAUUUCUGUGGCAUUCUGCCUUUGCAGUGCUAAGGAAAAUAACUUUCUUUCCAGAAAAGAUUUUUCAAAAUAGUAUUUAAAAAAUAUCUUAAUGAUGAAUUUGAAGUUGAGAACCAACUUAUUUCAAGGAAAAUAAAAAUUUCGGAAGAUAUGAGAGUAUACUUUUUUAAGGUUAGAACUCAGAGGCCAUUAUGAAAAUUAAUGGGCCAGUGGAGACACCUGGUCCCUAAAAAGGAGGCAUUAGCUUCUUCAUGUUUUGAUUUCUGCCUUGCUCUCUUGUCUGUCACCAUUAGACACAUACUAUUUUAUAGUAAUUAUUUGUAAAUUUUACGGAAAAGGCAGCUGUGUUUUCUACAAAUAUUUCACAAAUGUUAGUGUUGCUCUAUGCCAGGGAACAGAAGACAAAUUGGUAGAAAAGCCACAUUUGGCCCCUCCCCAGGUGGGACUUCUUGUGUAGGGCCCAUUCAGUGGAGGCGCUCCACUGCAGAGGGACGGAGGGGGCCAGUGCUCAUUCUGAGUACACAAUAGUUCGGACUGUCUGAGGAAAUCGACAGUGUGUGUUUAAUGACCAAACCAGCAUGGCUUUGAGGAAUAUUUUUCUUAAUAUUUCUGUAGGAAUAGUUUUCUCUUUUUAGUUUUCAAAUAAAGAUAUUUUAAUUUUUCUUGAAAAUACAUAUUAUUAUACAGAAAUCAUUGUCCAAAUAUAUAAUCAUUUUUUAAGAUAGUGUCCUAGACCUGAAAUUUCUGUUUUAAAAAAUGAAAACAUUUUCAGUCUCUUCAUAGAUAUUGACAAGUGGCUUUCAGAAAAAUUGUUUCGUCUAUUCCCCUCCUAACAUUGCAUGAAUUUCCUUUCACAUGCUUUUGUCAGAGUUUAAUUUUAUCAUUUUAAAUGUGUUACUUUUAUUAUAAAAGCUGGCAUUUCUUAAAUUUACCAUUUUGUGAUAUUUAAUUUUUGCUGUGUUGGGUUUUUUUCAUAUGCUUAUUAUUUGCAUUUCCUUUUGUGAAUUGUGUUCCUAUGGUUUGCACAUCAAUCUUUUUUUGCAGCUGUGUUUAAAUUUUGAUAUAAGGUUACAUGAAAGAGGAAUAUACAUGUAUAACUUACCUACAUAUACACACACACAUAGUGUGUGUGUGUGUGUGUGUGUGUGUGUGUGUAUUCUGUGUUGAAAUAAAUGAUAAAGCAGGACAAUGGGUAGAGGUUAUGAUGUCAUCUGUGACACGGUCUAGAGCAGAAACCAUGUGUGCAUCCAUCAACUUAGCUUUUCAAAAGAAUCUUAACUAUUAGUUUCUGGAAUAUUCAGAGGAGAACUGGAAGGCCAACAUGGACCCCAGUUUCCAUCCUCCCAAGAAGACGUCCCAUUAUGAAACCUAAGUAACUUUGACAGCAAGCCUUUGAGCCUUAUCAUCUUCGUUCGAGAAUCUACCCCCCAGCACAGAGAUUCAAAAUGCACUAUAUUCUUGCACUGGUGUUCUUCACGUUUUGCUUCACCCCAAAACUGCCACUCCUAACCACAAGCCUACCUGCUAACUUUCACACCAGGCUUUUGAGAACAGUAUUUUCAAUAAGCUCUCUUUUUCAAUUCUUUUCAUAAUGGAGCUGAAGCAUCUUUGAGUUGAGAGAAUCUUAGAAGUGACUAGGGGCAAUUAUAUAUAGAUUCCUUUUACCACACACACGCACCGAUUAUUUUCUAAAGACUAUGUUAAAAAAAAGAAAAGCCUAAUUUAGUGUUGGACUGCUCAAAUAUUUUGAAAUUUGUGAUUUCAAAAUCCUAACAUUAUUAUUGAAACCGAUGUUUCUCAUGCCUUUUAGUCUCUGGACUCCUUUUUAAACAUUCCGAAACAUAAACUAUAUUUUUAGCUCUAAUUGUGAAAUAUAUAGAGCUUUUCUCUAUGUGGGAUACACAUAUUUAUUAUAAAAUAAAUUAGAAUUUAAAAAUAUUUAUUCAUUUAAUAAUAAUAAACAUAUUAAUAUAAAUAGCACUUAUUGUAUAAAAACAAUGAGAUAUUACAAAACAAAGAUUUAAUAGGAAUAGUGGCACUUUUUGCAUUUUUACAAAUCUUUUAAAUGUCUGAAUGACAGCUGGAUUCUCAUAUAUGUUUUUAUAUUCUCUGUUAUAAUAUAUACCAUAUGGUUUCUGGAAACAUUAAUUUUCUACUAAUAAGAGAAUGAGAGAGAAAAAGAAAAAUAACUUCUUAGUACUAUUAGGUAAAUAAUAAUAUUUAUAAUGCUUAGUCAGUACUUAUUUUGACCUUGAAGAAUCUUUAAAAUGUUCAUGGGGACUAUCUUGAAAUUCCAGAAAACACUGAGAACCACUGAUAUGCCAACAGAUAAAAUUCUUACCCUUACAGCAGCAUAGAAUAAGACUAUACCUUCUUAUAAUAAUAUUUCAAGUAUUUGAAUGUAUUUAUCAUAUUUUUAUCUAUACUAUUUCUUCCUAGAAUAAAAUAGCCUUCUUUAAGUUUUCCAUAUCUGGAAUGUUAUCUUGUCCCCUGCCACUUUCUACCUCCUGGUUAGCAUCCUCUGAAUACUCUUGAAUUUAAAUUUCAUUAAUAAUGUGUGAUAUUCUGCACUGACACAACAUUUCAGAGACCUGGUACCUUGAAUCAACAAACAUGUGUCUUCCGAAAGACUGUGAUUAAGAAGCCUCCAUGUCCAACUUGUCAGCCAAUUUUUAUAUUGUACAAACCAGCAAUCUCAGAGUCAACCUAACCAGAUUUAGGCAAUGCACCUCCAUGAUGUAUUGGCUAUUGUAUUAUAGUGAUAUCAAUAAAAAUAAUCAUUAAGAUAAAUGGAUAAUGUUCAGCACUUCAUGUGUGCUAGAUGCUAUAUUUAAUGCAUGCAUUUAUUUGCUCAUCCAAUUCCUACAAUGAUUUCAUGAUGCAUAUGUAUUACUUAUUCCUAUUUAAUAGAUAAAGAAUCUGAGACAUGGAAAAUGUUGGCAAUUUAUUUGAAAUUACCAAGCUAAUAAGAGGCAGAGCCAAGGUUUGAUUCUGAACAACUUGAUUCUAGGGUCAUUUUGGCUAGGAAUUUUCUGAGAGUUGAGAGUUUUGUGUGUGUGUGCAUGUGUGUGUGUGUGUGUGUGUGUGCAUGCACGCUUGUGUGUGUGUGUAUAAAUAUGAUAACAUAUUAAUGUAUACAUAAAUGUCAAUAUAUAUUUUAAACUGAAUGUCUUAAUAGAGUGGCUUAUAUGAUAGAAAUAAGAGAAAUCAAAGAGGAUGGGAAGAGAGAAAAAAGAGAAACGUAAUUAGGGAUAUUGAAAAAACUAAAAUGUAGUUCUCUCCGUAUUGUGGAUACUGCUGCCUUUUACCCCACUUUCCACACAUUGAUCAGUAUUCCUUUCUCCUUCCCUAAAAUAGUUUUACAGACACUAUAGAUACCCUUAGUUAUUUGACACUUACGUUUCCGUUUUUUUAACAUGUCAGCUUCGAUAACUGUCACACUUAAAUGUUUUCAUAGGAAUCAUGAAAACUAUAGUUUUUCCUUGAAUGUAAGGAUCUCACAUCACGCUUUCAUUCUGAACUCACCAUUCCCUUUCUGCAGCUGAUGUAAUUGUGCCAUGUGACCAUUGUACACGUGUGGAAGGGAGGAGCUGAAUUACACCUGACCCCUGGCCAGAGCAAGAACUACUGGCCAAGGGGGAGACGGAGCAUCUGUGUUCUACUUCCAACGUCUCUGCACCUAGGAAGUGCAAUAGACUUCUGAUGAGUCUAUGCUUACCCCACUGAUGAAUAAAGACAAUCUCCCAACACAAUUGCACUGCAGGAAAGAUUGAACUUGUGACUACUUCUUCUGUGUAAUUUUGAAUUUCUUAGACCCGAACCCUGCUGAGUACAUCUGCUUCCCUCUAUUCCUUGCUGAAUUUCAUUCUUUUCAGGGCAUUAAUAGAGCCAAACCAAGCUGGUAGUGGUAACAGUUUGAAUAAUAAUGGUCUUUACCUUUUAUCUUUUUAAAAAUAGAAUUCUCAGGAGCACUUUUAGCUAUAAGAUUCCUUCAUCCAUUUAAAUAAGCUUUCAACUUCAUGGAAAGUGAAAAAGGGCACAGGUUGGUUUGUGGAAAUAGGAGGAAGAAAUCUUGAGCCCGAAUACUUUGAAGUACUGGCAGCUUCUGGAAGUAGUUGAAGGAGACUUCAGUUAGAAGCUUGGUCUAAUGGACAGAGUCCUGACCUGGACAUUGGAGACCUGUAGCCACCCUCUGAAUCCACAGCUGACCUUGUGGCCGUGAUACAUAAUAUUGAUUGCAAGGCAGUUUUGUGAUGGUUAAGAUUGCACGUUUUCCUAACUAGAUUUGUGGAAUUUAAAUCUCAACUCUGGCACAUACUGAAUUUCCCUGGGAAAAGUGAUUAACCUCUUUGUGCCUCAGUUGCCUCAUCUUUAAAUGAAGAUAAUUUGAUUGCAUACCUCCCAGGUAUUAAAGAAUAAAUAAUUGGAAAAUACAAAUUAUUGAGUAUAUGCUGGUAAUUGUUUUCAUUGUUACGCUAUUAUUAUUUUUCUUAUUUAUGUAUGACAUCAUGUCACCUACCUAACAACAGGGAAUUGAGACAAAAGCAAAAUAUGAUUUUCUAUAUUAUUAAUCAUAAUAAGUGCUUCCAAUGUUUCCUAACUAUAAUUUUUUUAACCCUACACUUUAUGGGGGUGAUGAAAAUGAGAAAUAUUAUUAUUUAAGACAGCGUUUGCUAUAAUUUUCAUAUAUCGAUAUAAGUUUAUAUGUUCUCAGAAAAUUGGUCUUUGGAUAAUUGAGGUCAGUGUGAGUUUUUAUUCUGUUUCCGGAAGACAAUGUCUGUGGCUGGCUGUGGGAAAUGGGGAACAGACCAUCUUCCCAUGUUUCAGAGGGACCCGUAUAAAAAUGGGAAAAGAUUUGUUUUAAAUAGCUUUGGGAUGUGAAUUAAUUGCGAAGUGUUUUAGCAGCAAACAAAAUUGUUUGGGUAGUAAGAAGAGGUUUAAAGAUGCUGUGUGGGAGAAAACGAAGUCCCUACCUAUCUUUGUGAGCACGUCUCAGAGGACAUGAUGUGUUCCUGUAAGUUGAUAACAAUCUUACUGUGCCCUAGUGCAGACACUGCUUCCUACUUCCCCGUAGAAAACAGAACCGUUUUUAAAAAUUGGUUUUCAACUAAUAUUUUUAAUAGUCAUGCUACUUGAUGACAAAAUCAGAUAUCGUGGCCUUUAGUACUACAUAGUGAAUGCUUUUUGAAAGUUGGGAAAACUCUAACCCCAAUAUACCGGGAACUGCUCUCUUCUUCAUCUCGGAUGUCUGCUUCUUCCUCAGACCUGUGUGUGUGUGAAGCUCUAGAAUAGGCUGUUUGGGAAGAAUACAACAUCUCCUCUCCGAGGCCCCUUAUAACCCUGAUAGCUGCUAGAUUUGAAAUCAAGGAUUUAUUCUCCCCCUGCCUUGGGCCUCUCCCUUAUGGCCUCAUAGGCUCUAGCAUUGGAAGGAAUAUUUUAAAAGCUCUUUCUUUUGACUUUGUGAUACUCCAAUAUUAAAAAUGACUUAUGACAAGAAGAAGAAAAAAUGCUAUAUUCUUCCCCUUAAGGUUAAUGUUCUGGGGGACUAUCAUAAAAAUCCAGAUCUCCUAAUCUGGAGAGUUACUCUUUGGAUCUGAAUGGGAUUGGAGCCAGUAAAAGGGGUGGAGGGUGUUUCUGGAACAUCCCUGCAGCCUUUUAAAGCAAUUUAAUCAAUCAGUUAAAUAUCGUAUUUAAAAAGUACAUUUUAUUAUUUAUUAUGAUUUUGAUUAAUGUAUUGUCAUCAAAGUUGUCAAAGUCAAGAAGUCAUUAUUGGGACCUGCGGGUAAGGCAGGAGCCAAGUGAGAAUAAGCAGACAGCAAAGAUUGUGGAAAAGCAGAACAGCCAGGUCCCCCAGGCAUACAUACAGAGACAUUUUGCAAUGGCGGCUCCCUGUGGCUGUCUGCCCCAGACUUCCACCUUGAGGUAAUUGGGGUAACUAUAACGAUAUCUUCAUCCUGAUCUCUUCAUGCAGUUAUAUGUUUCCAAAAACAGAUAAACUAUGGACUUAGUACAUGUGCCCCUUUUCCUUGGAUUCUCACCAUCUGGCUGGUAAACGUGACAGAAACGUUCAAGUAGGUUCAAUGUGGUACAUGGUAACAAAUGCUGUAGUGCAGACUAGGGGAGCGUGUCUGGCAACGCGUUGGCAAAGAAAUUCUAUUGGCACAUUCAGGAUGAAAUGAGAAUGUGGGAAAAUAGAACGUGAUUCUCUCCCCAGUCCUCGAAAGACAAACCAAGUGUAUGUACUGUUUAUACUAUGUUAUUAGUGUAUCUUUACCUAUAAAUGGCAGGUCAUUUUCAUUCAAUAUGCUCAAAUACUCACAUUAAAAGAGGUAGACACUUUGGGAGGCCAGGGUGGGAGGAUCACUUGAACCUAAGAGUCCAAGACCAGCGUGGGGAACAUGGCAAAAUCCCAUCUCUACAAAAAAUACAAAAAUUAGCUGGUGUGUGCCUGUGGUCCCAGCUACUUGGGAGGCUGAGUGAAAAUACUGUUUGCUUUGAAGAAAUGGAGGCUACAGUGAGCUGUGAUCACACCACUGCACUCCAGCUCUCUGGCCUGGGCAAAGAGCCAGACCCUGUUUCAAAAAAAAUUUUUUUAAAGAUUUAGGGAGCAUGUGGACAUCUAUUCAUAGAGGGUUGAACGAUAGAAUUAGACAGCCAUGUGUAUGUCUGGAAUGUCCACACGUGUAGGAAGGAGAAGGUGUGUUUUUUCCACACAUGUAGGAAGGAGAAGGUAGGAACAAUGAAAAUAUUCUUUUAGUGAUCACAGUGGCUCCAAAAGAGAUGCUAUGGUAUGUGUAAUACUCGUCUAUCUUAUAAAGAAAGUAAGGAAAUAAUAAAAGCAUUUGCUAACCAUGUCUAGAUGCUACAGUAAACAUAAAAGUAAAGGGUCUGUUAAUCUGUUAACUGACCUUAAGAUAUGAGGUGAUAAAACAGCAGCCUUCAAAUAUGCAGAUGGCUAUAACAGAGAUCAUGAUGAACAGAUUUUUAUUCUGGCUUAGAAAGACCAGAUCCAGAUAUUAAAGGCAUAACUUUACAAGCAAAGCAAUCUUACUAUAACACUCCUUUCAAGGUAGACUGUGAAUAUUUCCACCAAGAAUAUAUAUUUUUAAAAGUAGAUUCAUUUUCAUUUGUCUUUUUAAGUUAAAUAUAAUCUUGCUUGAAUGAGGAGGAGUAUAAGAUACCUCAAUAAGGACUUUGUAGAUCACCGAAUCAGCCAGCUUUGUAUUCAGCUAUCAAACAAAAUAAAAUGUGAUCACUAGUGGUUCAAAUACAUUGGAAUUCUACAACUAAAGAUCUAAAAGAAUAAAAUCCAUGGCUAGUACAGAAACAUAAUAAUGCCAUAAGCAAACGAUGACAGUUUCCUGUUUCUUUUUUUGCCACCCCAUUUGAUAGGCUUUGGUCCUCAUUCUUGGCAUCUCCUAUCUCAUUUGGGAUGCGAUGCGUUCACACCUUCCAUCCACAUUCCAGCAAAAGAAAGGGAAGGCAAAGUGGUAAUACAUUUUUCCUAGUGAGGUUAUACCUCUUUAUUCAGGGAUGGAAACCCUCCCCAGAAGCUUUUGUUGACACUUAUUGGCCAGAAAUGUAACAUAUGACCACCCGUUGCUGUCAGAGGUGGGGAGAAGUCCCUGAGAAAGAAAUUAUUCUUCUUUUCUAGCCUCUAUUAUAGCAUUUAACAAGGAAGAAUGGGAUUAUGAAUAGCUUUGGAAUGUUUAUCAUGUCUUCUCAUUGCCAUAGCUGAUAGUCAUUUUAUGUGAUUGAAUCUAUAUCAGGCCUUUUUAUCUGACAAGUUUCCCAAUGUACAAAGAUGAAAAAAUUGUCAACUUGCCUCAGAUGGGAAUAAAGAAUGUCAAUUUGUCUGGCCAAGUGAGUUUGGAAAGCUAAGAUUUAGCCUUGGGUGCAUUAUUGAUGGGCAAUAAAGAAGUCGGUGGCAUUCAUCCAUUCAUUCACUCAUUCUACCUGUGCUAUUGAACACCUGCAAAGCAUAGAGCUAGAUGCUAGGUAGAAUAUAGAAAAGAAAGUCACAGUCUCUUCCUUGAAAACAUAUUUGUUUUAUUUAUAGGACAAGACAUCUAUACAUAUACAGACUGUCAAUUCGUAACAUGUCAUAGAAAUACAAAAGCAGAUAUCAAUGAAAGUGGAAUGUUUAGAGAAAUUUCCAUGCAGUUGAUAGAAUUUAAAUCCUAUAAUUUCAAUAGGUGGUAGCUGUGUCUCAGGCAUUCUAGGCAGUGCAUAGCAAGAGAAAAGAUGGUAAUAAAGAUAAAGACUGGAAAGAAGUAGGCAAUUGGUCACAUUUCUGCAAAGUAAGAGAGGAAAUUUAGAAAAUCGCAUGUGUUAGCUUGUAUACACACCUUAGCUUACAAUGUUAGCUUGUAGCUAACUGAAUACAGAUGUGAGAGUUAAAAUAAACUCUUCUAACAGUAGAACAAUUAUUAUUAGAGUGGCAGGGAUGAUCUUACAGAAAUAAAUAUUGGACAGCUAACAAAAAUAGGGAAAGCCAGCCAUAUGGCUAUCUGGGGGAGGAGCAUUCCAGCUACUCAAAUCCAAAGUGGUAUGGUGAGAUGUAUUUUUUUUAAAUUUUUAUUUUAGAAACAGGGUCUCGCUGUGUUGCCCAGGCUGAUUUCAAACUGCUGAGCUCCUGUGAUCCUCCUGCCUCAGCCCCCUGAGUGUAGUCAUGUGCCAUCAUGCCCAGCUAGGUUUUAUAGAAACAUAAGCACAGAGUAACACAGUAGCAAAAAAAUAACGUCACCUAAAUUAGGGUUUCGAAGACAAUAUAGGAGUUAGGUAGAUAAAGAAGAGAGCAAAGGGCAUAACAUAAAGAAACAACGUAUUAAAAUGUCUGUGUUAUGAACUUGCAUACAAACUUAGUGCUUUAAUUUGGCCAAGCACCUUUCAUACCACUAGAAGGAAUCAACAGUAUUAGACAGAGUAAGAGGGCCUGAGAACUUGCAUAAACACCCUUGGUACAUGGAAAGUAAAUAUAAAAUGGUGCCGAUAAUUCUGAUUCCCUAGUUUAUAGAAAAGAUACAUGAUCAAGCUUAAAGUGAGAAUGAGUGAUAAAGAAUUACGUAGGUUCUGUAUAAGGAAAGGUAAUUUCAGAUUCCCAAAAGGAUAUACAGCUGAAUGUUUUAGCCUUUCAGAGUUGGGGAAUCCAUUUCUUUCCAUGGAAGAAUUAGUCUUCAGGUGAAUAGAGAUGUAUUGAAGGGAAAUUAAGAGAGCAUAACAAAACCCCACUUUACCCACUAUCUAUCCGUGGAAGCUGCAGCAAAACCAUCUGAGAGCUAUGGUACAAUUAAGUUGAAGAUACUUGCACAAAUAAAGUAUGUGUAAUGUAACAUACAGGAUCAAACAUUUGAAAUUGAUGAUAUUGGGUCAUUGCUGACCAACAAAAUAAAUGAUUUUAUGUGAAUCAGUCUAAUGGAAGUAGUUUCAAAGGAGUGACUUCUUUGCAAAUAAGAUGGUUGAAAUAGAACCCAAAACUAGCACAUUGGGCAAAAAAUUACGAAGAAACAUGGAAGUGGCUGCAUAGUAACCACAAAAAUGAACACACUUAUUUUCAGAGUUCAAACCACGGUAGAUUUGAGCGUGUGUUUGGAAAUGACUAACACUUACUGUUGUUUUACCCUGUCACCACGUUCCUGCGUUAGGCUCCUUAUCUCUGACUGGUCAUGCUCACAUCAUUGUCUGCCAGCCUUUCCAGUGCCUGCAGGCAACCACCUGCACCCAACGUCCUCCUUUUAUGCUCUCGCCUCCUUUUGUGUACUGUGUGGUCCACCAUUCUACCUAAUCUGCCUCAUACUCACAAAACUACUUGCUUCUUUUGAAAAAAAUGCGUUAUUAGAUUUAAAUAUAGAUUUUUAAAAAACAUUUCCCUUCAUUUUUUAAAGUUUUCACUUUAUUUUUAUACUAUGUUUUAAGCUUCCCUAAUAUCCCACUGCUGAGUCCCGUAGACAUGGAAUCCACAGCAUGGUGACUCCCUGACUUGGCCAUGCCUACCAGAAGCAGAGCCACAAUCUAAUCCAGACCUUCCGUCAGCCACUCCCAGACCCCUUCUCUCCCCCAAGCAAAUGAAGAACAUAUUUUUUGUGUAAAGAGAUACAAUUGGGAAAUUCUUAAAAAUCAAGUUUUACUUUAACUGAAUAGCUUAUUUGGUCCUGGGGCUGUAAAGUCAGCGGAAUGAUGGGGUCAUUUUUUUUUUUUUUCUCAAAAUGCAGCAUCUUCCUACUCACUUCGUUUAUUACUCUCUUCAUUCUGAAAAUCACAUUUGUGAAAGGGAAUGAAAUCAGGUUUACUUUGGCAUCACCCAAAGGACCUUAGUAA
This is a long non-coding RNA of Sapajus apella (tufted capuchin), 27234 nucleotides long. RefSeq lists it as uncharacterized. Lineage: Eukaryota; Metazoa; Chordata; Mammalia; Primates; Cebidae. The transcript is spliced from 2 exons. The record is from RefSeq and is a predicted model, not a curated record.